GGUUGAAGGCCGAAACAUCCAAGUUCUUUCACAGGUCUUUGACAGCCCGAAGGACCACUGCAAUCAGUUUGUGAAUCUGAGAAGGGAAUAUGUUGAAUAAAAUCAUAAUUAACUGAUUUUCCUGUAUUUUCUUUUACUGAAAACCAGGAACUUUUCAGCACCAUUCUCCAUCAUGUGUGUGUGUGU
Molecule: long non-coding RNA, 186 nt
Organism: Octopus sinensis (East Asian common octopus)
Lineage: Eukaryota; Metazoa; Mollusca; Cephalopoda; Octopoda; Octopodidae
Exons: 3
Source: RefSeq, a predicted model, not a curated record